Long non-coding RNA from Bombyx mori (domestic silkworm), 1029 nucleotides. RefSeq lists it as uncharacterized. The record is from RefSeq and is a predicted model, not a curated record. NCBI's taxonomy places the organism in Eukaryota, Metazoa, Arthropoda, Insecta, Lepidoptera, Bombycidae. The transcript is spliced from 2 exons.
AGCACCGUUAAUGGAUCGGGAGGAUCCGUAAUGACGUGUUUUUGGUGACGUGACUGUUUACCAUUCGAUCUACAGGAUCGGGUAUGGAACAAAUCAAAUCAAAUCAAAAACCAACCAACCAACAAACCUUAACACGUUCACUGCGGAACAGGCCCAAAUCAGCCUGCCGCGGAAUUUCACCUGGUGCGGACGAAGAAAACUAUGUCCCUCUCGCUGGUGCGGAACGAUUAUCUCAGGUGUUUGUAAAGGUACGACAAAGACAAAUAUAUAUUUGAGAUUGUGGUCAAAAGUAUAGGUGUUCCCUAUAAAAACAUCACGGCAGGCCUUUAUCGGCCUAUCACGCACUGACGGUAAAAAAUAUCAACUCGGUGCGGGAGGAGGCCUAUUGUGGCCCGCCGUCCCAACAGGCUGUUGGCGGCCCGAUACCGCACAGAGCGCCCGCCUCGCCAGUUAGUGUUGGGCAAGCUAUCGGAACUGACGUACGUCACGUUUUUUUUAUUCCUUAAAAUUAAAGGCACGAUGUCAGGCAACAAAAGAAAGAUAAAUAUUUUGGAAAAUAAAUUAAUUUGCGGCGCAGAUAGUGAUAGUGACAGCAGUCAGGAGAUAUUUUCCUUGAAAAUGAGAAGAAGGUUUCAAAGAAAGAAUUUACAGAAGCAUUAAUACAAUCAAUUACUGGAAAAAAGAUAUGCCCUGAUAGUAAGUAUAACGACGUGCAACAUAACUGUAACCAUCUUUAGACCUAUGUUGAAGGUGAUUCCUUCUGUUUCGUGUUGACGACGUUCUACCUCUGCAACAGGAAAUCAAGUAACACCUACGGCCGAUCAUAUCCUUGAGAUGAGCGGUAAACGGCGAAAUUGUGUAGGGUGCUAUGAAAAACUGCGGGAAACCAUGAAGAGUUCCGAGGUGAAAAGGAAAGUAAAAAAAAUUAAAACAUACUGCAGAAUGUGCAAGCAAAAUCUUUGUGCGAAAUGUUUUAAAGACAGCCAUUAAUAAAUAAUUAAAUAAACAAUUUUUAUUUCUUUACUUUAA